AGAGUUUGAUCAUGGCUCAGGAUGAACGCUAGCUACAGGCUUAACACAUGCAAGUCGAGGGGCAGCAUGUUGGCUGCUUGCAACCAAUGAUGGCGACCGGCGCACGGGUGAGUAACGCGUAUCCAACCUACCCUUGUCCAUCGGAUAACCCGUCGAAAGGCGGCCUAACACGAUAUGCGGUUCUCAGCAGGCAUCUAACGAGAACGAAAUGUGAAGGAGAAGGAUGGGGAUGCGUCUGAUUAGCUUGUUGGCGGGGUAACGGCCACCAAGGCGACGAUCAGGUAGGGGUUCUGGAGAGGAACGGUCCCCCACAUUGGAACUGAGACACGGUCCAAACGUCCUACGGGAGGCA
This 352-nucleotide ribosomal RNA is filed under the name uncultured bacterium. RNAcentral describes it as "bacterial SSU rRNA". It matches the Rfam family "Bacterial small subunit ribosomal RNA", at positions 8 to 350 of the family's 1533-position model. The record is from RNAcentral.